CAGUCGCCACGGUAAUACGAAGGGUGCAAGCGUUAAUCGGAAUUACUGGGCGUAAAGCGUGCGUAGGCGGUUUGUUAAGUCUGUUGUGAAAUCCCCGGGCUCAACCUGGGAAUGGCAAUGGAUACUGGCAAGCUAGAGUGUGUCAGAGGAUGGUGGAAUUCCCGGUGUAGCGGUGAAAUGCGUAGAGAUCGGGAGGAACAUCAGUGGCGAAGGCGGCCAUCUGGGACAACACUGACGCUGAGGCACGAAAGCGUGGGGAGCAAACAGGAUUAGAUACCCCCGUAGUCCCUGUCUCUUAUAC
This 301-nucleotide ribosomal RNA is filed under the name uncultured bacterium. Its description in RNAcentral is "partial 16S ribosomal RNA". It matches the Rfam family "Bacterial small subunit ribosomal RNA", at positions 509 to 807 of the family's 1533-position model. The record is from RNAcentral.